UUCAGCGAGGAAAGUGACAUUGAGGA
This 26-nucleotide non-coding RNA is filed under the name Homo sapiens (human). The record is from RNAcentral. Lineage: Eukaryota; Metazoa; Chordata; Mammalia; Primates; Hominidae.